This 74-nucleotide transfer RNA is filed under the name hydrothermal vent metagenome. RNAcentral describes it as "tRNA-Gly-TCC". It matches the Rfam family "tRNA". Rfam says of the family: Transfer RNA (tRNA) molecules are approximately 80 nucleotides in length. Their secondary structure includes four short double-helical elements and three loops (D, anti-codon, and T loops). The record is from RNAcentral.
GCGGGUGUGGUGUAACGGUAGCAAGAUUGGCUUCCACUCAGUUCGCCAGAGUUCAAAUCUCUGUGCCCGCACCA